GGGUGUUUGGUCUAGUCGUAUGAUUUCUGUUUUGCAAUGACCCAGUGUUCUUGCAUUCCUUACAGACGGCCCCGUGUUCGAUCCACGGAACAUCCA
Non-coding RNA from Immersiella caudata, 96 nucleotides. Lineage: Eukaryota; Fungi; Ascomycota; Sordariomycetes; Sordariales; Lasiosphaeriaceae. The record is from the annotation of a GenBank genome assembly.